GAUGAACGCUGGCGGCGUGCCUAACACAUGCAAGUCGAGCGAUUUACUUCGGUAAAGAGCGGCGGACGGGUGAGUAACGCGUGGGUAACCUGCCCUGUACACACGGAUAACAUACCGAAAGGUAUGCUAAUACGAGAUAAUAUGCUUUUAUCGCAUGGUAGAAGUAUCAAAGCUUUUGCGGUACAGGAUGGACCCGCGUCUGAUUAGCUAGUUGGUAAGGUAACGGCUUACCAAGGCGACGACCAGUAGCCGACCUGAGAGGGUGAUCGGCCACAUUGGAACUGAGACACGGUCCAAACUCCUACGGGAGGCAGCAGUGGGGAAUAUUGCACAAUGGGCGAAAGCCUGAUGCAGCAACGCCGCGUGAGCGAUGAAGGCCUUCGGGUCGUAAAGCUCUGUCCUCAAGGAAGAUAAUGACGGUACUUGAGGAGGAAGCCCCGGCUAACUACGUG
This 452-nucleotide ribosomal RNA is filed under the name uncultured bacterium. RNAcentral describes it as "bacterial SSU rRNA". It matches the Rfam family "Bacterial small subunit ribosomal RNA", at positions 28 to 507 of the family's 1533-position model. The record is from RNAcentral.